Molecule: ribosomal RNA, 433 nt
Filed under: uncultured bacterium
Lineage: Bacteria
Description: partial 16S ribosomal RNA
Rfam family: Bacterial small subunit ribosomal RNA
Source: RNAcentral
AACGAACGCUGGCGGCAUGCCUAACACAUGCAAGUCGAACGAGAUCUUCGGGUCUUGUGGCGCACGGGUGCGUACCGCGUGGGAACCUGCCCUUAGGUUCGCAAUAACUCCCCGAAAGGUGUGCUAAUACCGGUUAAUGUCUUCGGACCAAAGAUUUAUCGCCGUUGGAUGGGCCCGCGUUGGAUUAGCUAGUUGGUAGGGUAAAAGCCUACCAAGGCGACGAUGCAUAGCUGGUCGGAGAGGAUGAUCAGCCACACUGGGACUGAGACACGGCCCAGACUCGUACGGGAGGCAGCAGUGGGGAAUAUUGGACAAUGGGCGAAAGCCUGAUACAGCAAUGCGGCGUGAGUGAUGAAGGCCGUAGGGUUGUAAAGCUCUUUUACCCGGGAUGAUAAUGACAGUACCGGGAGAAUAAGCACCGGCUAACUCCGUG